GGCGCCUAUGAAAGCCCCACAGUGAGCCUCCCGCUCGAUGGGAGAGACUGAAGCUUGGCCCCUAAGAUCAGAAACAAAGCAAGGGGACGCCUGGGGGUUCAGCGGUUGAACAUCUGCCUUGGGCUCAGGUCGUGACCCUGGGGUCCUGGAAUCGAGUCCUGCGUCAGGCUCCUCGCUCAGUGGGGUGUCUGCUUGGGAUUCUCUCUCCACCCCCCCAAAUAAAUAAAGUCUUAAGACAUGUAAAAAUUCAGGAGCACCCGAGGAGCCCAGUCACUUGAGCACCUGCCUCUGGCUCAGGUCGGGGUCCUGGGGUCGAGCCCCGCAUCAGGCUCCUUGCCCCAUGGGGAGUCUGCUUCUCCCUCUCCCUCUGCCCCUCCCCCUGCUUGCUUGUGCACGUGUGCUCUCUCUCUCUCUCUGUCUCUUUCUGUGUCUCUCAAAUAAAUAGAAAAGUCCUUUAAAAAUAUAAGACCACUUCUAAAAAAAAAUAAAAUAUGUAAAAAUCCAUUUAACGAGAGACGUGCAAGGCCUCAGGAAUGAACCAAAUCGCUGAAGCCCUGAGGGGAGUCAGAGCUCUGGGACCGAGUGCGCGGUGUCCGUUGGGUCGGCAGGUACGGCAGUGAGGCCACCGCGGCCCCCCAGGUUGCUCCGUGACCUCGUGAAAUACCCCCCAGGGGCUGCUCAUAGGAUGGAAGCAGCCAAACGAAAGGGACACACAGACGUGCUGCGAGCCUGAAGCAGCCAGCGUCGCCUCGAGGGGGAGGCGGGGCCAGCACAGCUGCUCCACAGGCCCAGUGCCAAGGGGUCAGCGCCACGGGGUCAGGCCCAGGGCCAUCAGAGGGCCCUGCCCUGAAGGCUCAGCUGGGAAACUCUGGGAGGAAGGGGCGUGUCCUCAGCAAAUGGAGUGGGAGGCGUGGCCCAGGCGGGUGGGCAGUGACCUUGCACCCCUACCUCACACUGCAUGCAAGGUCAUCUGCAGAGAAUCCGGGAGCUGGGGGGGUUAUGAGAGGAGCCCCCCCCCCCAAGACUUCGAUGUGGACGGACAUUUCCCAGGGAAAACGCAGAAAGCGGAAAGGAAACAGGUCCUCUGCCUUAAUCAAAGUAGAACCUUCUGCACCGAGAAA
This 1121-nucleotide long non-coding RNA is filed under the name Canis lupus familiaris (dog). RNAcentral describes it as "lncRNA (ENSCAFG00000057162.1)". The record is from RNAcentral. Lineage: Eukaryota; Metazoa; Chordata; Mammalia; Carnivora; Canidae.